AUUAGAUACCCUGGUAGUCCACGCAGUAAACGAUGAGCACUAAUUGUCCGGUCCGAAUGAGGACUGGGUGAUACAGCGAAAGCGUUAAGUGCUCCACCUGGGGAGUACGCCGGCAACGGUGGAACUCAAAGGAAUUGACGGGGGCCCGCACAAGCGGAGGAACAUGUGGUUUAAUUCGAUGAUACGCGAGGAACCUUACCCGGGCUCAAACGCGGCGUGAAUACUUUUGAAAGGAGGUAGUCAGCAAUGACACGCCGCGAGGUGCUGCAUGGUUGUCGUCAGCUCGUGCCGUGAGGUGUCGGCUUAAGUGCCAUAACGAGCGCAACCCCUACCGUCAGUUGCCAACAGGUAAGGCUGGGGACUCUGACGGGACUGCCGGCGCAAGCUGCGAGGAAGGCGGGGAUGACGCCAAAUCAGCACGGCCCUUACGUCCGGGGCGACACACGUGUUACAAUGGCAGGUACAGCGGGAAGCCACCUGGCGACAGGGCGCGGAACCCGAAAACCUGUCUCAGUUCGGAUUGGAGUCUGCAACCCGACUCCAUGAAGCUGGAUUCGCUAGUAAUCGCGCAUCAGCCACGGCGCGGUGAAUACGUUCCCGGGCCUUGUACACACCGCCCGUCAAGCCAUGGAAGCCGGGAGUGCCUGAAGUGCGUGACCGCAAGGAGCGCCCUAAGGCAAUACCGGUGACUGGGGCUAAGUCGUAACAAGGUAGCAAGGGCGAAUUCGCGG
Molecule: ribosomal RNA, 731 nt
Filed under: uncultured bacterium
Lineage: Bacteria
Description: bacterial SSU rRNA
Rfam family: Bacterial small subunit ribosomal RNA
Source: RNAcentral